AACCACUCCAUCAAGCUGGGAUCAUUAUGAGGACAGUCAGUGGGCCAUACGAUUGGAGGAAAGCAUUCCGGGCAAUGUGAUGGGAAGAGCUAUGAGAGCCCAGGGAUGAAGUCAAGGUGACUGUGCCACCUGUUUGCCCAGUGUGGCCCCACCAUCCCGCCAUCCCAGUGUGACUACUAGAUAGUUCCCCCUUUUACUCUCAAGUGUCCCAGUUUGAAUGACAAAUCAUGAGUUUGAGGAAGUCUGCCAAACAUUGAAAUCAUUUGCAGAGUGUCACAGAUGUGUGCGUUGUUUCUGGGCAUAGGUCCCUUGUUCAGAACAUGCCCUAAGGGGGCCAUCCCCAUGGCGUAAGGAGUUUGGUUUUUGUUUUUUGUUUUUUUAAGGAAAAUGAGCCUAGCCUUUGUGUGCAGCACAGAAUCCAGUGGGGGAAGUGCAGCAGGUGUUGGUAGGAGGCUCCGGAGAUAAGGCCUGUACCAGGUGGGAGGGGAAGGCGGGCCCCCAAGACUGCAGAGUAGAUGAAAAACCACCUGAAGAAGUAUGUACAUGGUCCAGAACACGGGCUCUGGAGUUCCUGUGUGACUUUGGACGAGUUGAUCACCUUAAACCUCUACUGCUCAUUUGUGAAGGAGAGAGAAUAGCAACACCUGUCCAAGGAUUUCGAGGAUUUGCAACAAUCCACGGUUCAACAAGGGUGCACAGAGACCCAAGAGUGUGGAAGAGGAAGCCAUAGAGUGAUGGAAUAAAUAACUGGUUUCCUUGAAAAUGAAUGGCAAAGUCAUCUGGUACAUUUUCCCUCCUUUUUUUAGCACUAAGUUCAUUGACCUGACUACUCAGAAAAAAUUAAAACAUGAUGAUAUCAAUGUUGGAGUGAUUUGAUGUUGUAGACCAGAUGUUUUUAUGCCAGUUAAAAUACCUCAGCUAGUCUCCAUUCAGGAAACCCCACAGACAUUGAGUGUGUUCAGCCUCUCACAGAACCAUCAGAA
Molecule: long non-coding RNA, 983 nt
Filed under: Homo sapiens (human)
Lineage: Eukaryota; Metazoa; Chordata; Mammalia; Primates; Hominidae
Description: HSALNT0304707
Source: RNAcentral